CAAGUCGAGCGGAUGAAGGGAGCUUGCUCCUGGAUUCAGCGGCGGACGGGUGAGUAAUGCCUAGGAAUCUGCCUGGUAGUGGGGGAUAACGUUCCGAAAGGAACGCUAAUACCGCAUACGUCCUACGGGAGAAAGCAGGGGACCUUCGGGCCUUGCGCUAUCAGAUGAGCCUAGGUCGGAUUAGCUAGUUGGUGAGGUAAUGGCUCACCAAGGCGACGAUCCGUAACUGGUCUGAGAGGAUGAUCAGUCACACUGGAACUGAGACACGGUCCAGACUCCUACGGGAGGCAGCAGUGGGGAAUAUUGGACAAUGGGCGAAAGCCUGAUCCAGCCAUGCCGCGUGUGUGAAGAAGGUCUUCGGAUUGUAAAGCACUUUAAGUUGGGAGGAAGGGCUGUAGGCUAAUAUCCUGCGGUUUUGACGUUACCAACAGAAUAAGCACCGGCUAACUUCGUGCAGCCG
Molecule: ribosomal RNA, 460 nt
Filed under: bacterium 2311-S1-01-1.1
Lineage: Bacteria
Description: bacterial SSU rRNA
Rfam family: Bacterial small subunit ribosomal RNA
Source: RNAcentral